RNAcentral lists this ribosomal RNA (536 nucleotides) under Siphonophorae sp. CN5. RNAcentral describes it as "SSU rRNA". It matches the Rfam family "Eukaryotic small subunit ribosomal RNA", at positions 34 to 566 of the family's 1831-position model. The record is from RNAcentral. Lineage: Eukaryota; Metazoa; Cnidaria; Hydrozoa; Siphonophorae.
GUCUCAAAGAUUAAGCCAUGCAUGUCUAAGUAUAAGCACUUGUACUGUGAAACUGCGAAUGGCUCAUUAAAUCAGUUAUCGUUUAUUUGAUUGUACUUUACUACAUGGAUACCUGUGGUAAUUCUAGAGCUAAUACAUGCGAAAAAUCCCGACUUCUGGAAGGGAUGUAUUUAUUAGAUUAAAAACCAAUGCGAGUCUUCGGGCUCGUUUUCUUGGUGAUUCAUGAUAACUUUUCGAAUCGCAUGGCCUAGCGCCGGCGAUAUUUCAUUCAAAUUUCUGCCCUAUCAACUGUCGAUGGUAAGGUAGUGGCUUACCAUGGUUAUAACGGGUGACGGAGAAUUAGGGUUCGAUUCCGGAGAGGGAGCCUGAGAAACGGCUACCACAUCUAAGGAAGGCAGCAGGCUCGAAAAUUACCCAAUCCCAAUUCGGGGAGGUAGUGACAAGAAAUAACGAUACGGGGUCUUAAUAGGUCUCGCAAUUGGAAUGAGUACAAUUUAAAUCCUUUAACGAGGAUCAAUUGGAGGGCAAGUCUGGUG